UCCUACGGGAGGCAGCAGUUAGGAAUUUUGCGCAAUGGGCGAAAGCCUGACGCAGCAACGCCGCGUGAGGGAAGAAGGCCUUCGGGUUGUAAACCUCUUUUAGCAAGGACGAACACAAUGACGGUACUUGCAGAAAAAGCACCGGCUAACUACGUGCCAGCAGCCGCGGUAAUACGUAGGGUGCAAGCGUUAUUCGGAUUUAUUGGGCGUAAAGCGCAUGCAGGCGGUUUGGUAAGUCUGGUGUGAAAGCCCUCGACUCAAUCGAGGAAGUGCAUUGGAUACUGUCAGACUAGAGUGCAGGAGGGGUGAGCGGAAUUCCAGGUGUAGAGGUGAAAUUCGUAGAUAUCUGGAGGAACAACAGCGGCGAAGGCGGCUCACUGGACUGUAACUGACGCUCAGAUGCGACAGUGUGGGGAGCGAACAGGAUUAGAUACCCGUGUAGUCAA
Molecule: ribosomal RNA, 446 nt
Filed under: uncultured bacterium
Lineage: Bacteria
Description: bacterial SSU rRNA
Rfam family: Bacterial small subunit ribosomal RNA
Source: RNAcentral